GGGGAGCAAGCGUUGUUCGGAUUUACUGGGCGUAAAGGGCGCGUAGGCGGUGUGACAAGUCACUUGUGAAAUCUCCGGGCUUAACCCGGAGCGGCCAAGUGAUACUGUCGUGCUAGAGUGCGGAAGGGGCUACUGGAAUUCUCGGUGUAGCGGUGAAAUGCGCAGAUAUCAGGAGGAACACCGGUGGCGAAGGCGGGUCUCUGGGCCGAUACUGACGCUGAGGAGCGAAAGCGUGGGGAGCGAGCAGG
Molecule: ribosomal RNA, 248 nt
Filed under: uncultured bacterium
Lineage: Bacteria
Description: partial 16S ribosomal RNA
Rfam family: Bacterial small subunit ribosomal RNA
Source: RNAcentral